RNAcentral lists this transfer RNA (92 nucleotides) under Chloroflexi bacterium RBG_13_57_8. RNAcentral's name for it is "tRNA-Ser". It matches the Rfam family "tRNA". Rfam says of the family: Transfer RNA (tRNA) molecules are approximately 80 nucleotides in length. The record is from RNAcentral. RNAcentral also lists the same sequence under 1 other name. Lineage: Bacteria; Bacillati; Chloroflexota.
GGAGGGGUCGCAUAGUGGCCUAGUGCGGGCGCCUGCUAAGCGCUUUCCCUGGGUAACUGGGGACGAGGGUUCGAAUCCCUCCCCCUCCGCCA